ACCUGGCUGGCUCAGUCAGUAGAGCAUGAGACUUUUGAUCUUGGGGUAGUGGGUUCAAGUCCCACUAGGGUA
Molecule: transfer RNA, 72 nt
Filed under: Felis catus (domestic cat)
Lineage: Eukaryota; Metazoa; Chordata; Mammalia; Carnivora; Felidae
Rfam family: tRNA
About the family: Transfer RNA (tRNA) molecules are approximately 80 nucleotides in length. Their secondary structure includes four short double-helical elements and three loops (D, anti-codon, and T loops).
Source: Rfam by way of RNAcentral